UACGAAGGGGGCUAGCGUUGUUCGGAAUUACUGGGCGUAAAGCGCACGUAGGCGGAUAUUUAAGUCAGGGGUGAAAUCCCAGAGCUCAACUCUGGAACUGCCUUUGAUACUGGGUAUCUUGAGUAUGGAAGAGGUGAGUGGAAUUCCGAGUGUAGAGGUGAAAUUCGUAGAUAUUCGCAAGAACACCAGUGGCGAAGGCGGCUCACUGGCUCGGUACUGACGCUGAGGUGCGAAAGCGUGGGGAGCAAGCAGG
Molecule: ribosomal RNA, 253 nt
Filed under: uncultured bacterium
Lineage: Bacteria
Description: partial 16S ribosomal RNA
Rfam family: Bacterial small subunit ribosomal RNA
Source: RNAcentral